Molecule: transfer RNA, 84 nt
Filed under: Arthonia kermesina
Lineage: Eukaryota; Fungi; Ascomycota; Arthoniomycetes; Arthoniales; Arthoniaceae
Description: tRNA-Leu
Rfam family: tRNA
About the family: Transfer RNA (tRNA) molecules are approximately 80 nucleotides in length.
Source: RNAcentral
AUAGAUGUGCUGAAAUUGGUAUACAGAUUCCACUUAGGAUGGAAUGGCAUUCAAGCCAUACAAGUUCAAGUCUUGUCAUCUAUA